RNAcentral lists this transfer RNA (77 nucleotides) under Campylobacter coli. RNAcentral describes it as "tRNA-Arg". It matches the Rfam family "tRNA". From Rfam's summary of the family: Transfer RNA (tRNA) molecules are approximately 80 nucleotides in length. The record is from RNAcentral. Lineage: Bacteria; Pseudomonadati; Campylobacterota; Epsilonproteobacteria; Campylobacterales; Campylobacteraceae.
GCGUUCGUAGCUCAAUUGGAUAGAGCAACAGACUUCGGAUCUGUAGGUUAUGGGUUCAAUUCCUAUCGGGCGCACCA